RNAcentral lists this long non-coding RNA (336 nucleotides) under Ananas comosus (pineapple). RNAcentral describes it as "long non-coding RNA (ACOM_LNC002165)". The record is from RNAcentral. Lineage: Eukaryota; Viridiplantae; Streptophyta; Magnoliopsida; Poales; Bromeliaceae.
GAUGUGUCAUACGCGGAAGUAUUGCAGGUUCCAGAAUUUAUAUUUUUAGGUAGCGUUUGGUUCCGGUAUAAGUAAGAACUAACUAUUACAAGGAUAGGUAGAAGUAUGGGGAUAAGAAAAAUAGCGUUUGAAUGAAAAUUAGAUUGUUUCCGGAGAUAAGAAAAAUAACGUUUGGAUAAAUAAUAUGGAAUAAGAAAAAUAAUAGAUAGUUAUAUAUAGAAAAUGAAGAUGUUGGUGGGAAUAAUUAUAUCCAAUUAUUAGAAGUAACCGAAAAUUAUUAUUUUCGAGUAAAAAAUUAACGUUUGGGUAUAAAAGGGAUAAGGGGUUAUCCCUUAU